RNAcentral lists this ribosomal RNA (379 nucleotides) under Enterococcus faecium. RNAcentral describes it as "partial 23S ribosomal RNA". It matches the Rfam family "Bacterial large subunit ribosomal RNA", at positions 163 to 543 of the family's 2925-position model. Lineage: Bacteria; Bacillati; Bacillota; Bacilli; Lactobacillales; Enterococcaceae. The record is from RNAcentral.
UACAUAGCACAUUCGAGGUAGACGCAGAGAACUGAAACAUCUAAGUACCUGCAGGAAGAGAAAGAAAAUUCGAUUCCCUGAGUAGCGGCGAGCGAAACGGGAAAAGCCCAAACCAACAAGCUUGCUUGUUGGGGUUGUAGGACUCCAAUAUGGUCGUUCUUUCAGAUAGUCGAAUGACUUGGAAAAGUCAGUCAAAGAGGGUAAAAACCCCGUAGACGAAAUGUGGAAGACACCUAGGAGGAUCCUGAGUACGGCGGAACACGAGAAAUUCCGUCGGAAUCCGGGAGGACCAUCUCCCAAGGCUAAAUACUCCCUAGUGACCGAUAGUGAACCAGUACCGUGAGGGAAAGGUGAAAAGCACCCCGGAAGGGGAGUGAAA